Paramisgurnus dabryanus is the source of this 774-nucleotide non-coding RNA. The record is from RefSeq and is a predicted model, not a curated record. Lineage: Eukaryota; Metazoa; Chordata; Actinopteri; Cypriniformes; Cobitidae.
GGUAAUAAAUAUAUGCAUAAUUACACUUUUAAGAAAUAUGCUAAACACAAAUGUACUUCUAGUGAAGUUUUAGUAUAUUUGGAUAAAACAUACUUUUUUCAAAACAUGAUUCAUUAAUUGUAAUAAGCUAACAUUGAACUUUCCUCAAGCAUUUCAACAUUAUAUCAUUCCGAUUGCAUAAUAAACUAUUUUUUCAAAGAUUUGCUUAAAAUCUUACGUUUGCUAGUGUUUAUUUUUAAACAACACACACGUGACACACGUGACUAAACCUGAUUGGUUGUUGUCAUAGUAACAUGUCACGGUGCUAUUUGAAACUUGUUCAGUUCUGUUCAGUUGUUCACGAGGUGCAUGCGGUUGCUUGCAUUAAACGUAUAAACUGUUAAAUUAGAUGGCGACUCUGCAUUAAACGUAUUUAUUUAAUUAAUCGGCGAUCAUAUUUCACCAGAGGACUAAGAUAAAACAACUCGAUUUAAAAUGUGAGCAGUUUUAGUGGAUCUGACGUCGAGGGAAAAAGUAUUUCGCUUUUUGUUUGGAGAUGAACGAGACAACACGAGGCACAGCGACAUAAAUAUGACCAACCAGAUCCCAAGUUGACAGGAACAAAUGAAGAUACAGCGCAUAGAAAGACUUAUUCUUGGUGAUCAACUGCUAUUGACAUUUUUGAACCGGGGCAAAUGUGGAGUGAAGAAAAAACGUUUGCAACACAUCCAAUCCAGAGUGCUCUGACAGAUAAAACUGACACGCUUGAUGAGGACACAGUCAAAGCUUUAAAAG